This 1489-nucleotide ribosomal RNA is filed under the name metagenome. RNAcentral's name for it is "bacterial SSU rRNA". It matches the Rfam family "Bacterial small subunit ribosomal RNA". The record is from RNAcentral.
AGAGUUUGAUCCUGGCUCAGAACGAACGCUGGCGGCGUGCUUAAUACAUGCAAGUCGAACGAGAAAGUCACCUUCGGGUGGCGAGUAAAGUGGCAAACGGGUGAGUAACACGUAAGCAACCUACCCAUAAGUUUGGGACAACACUGCUAACGCGGUGCUAAUACCGGAUGUGAACAAUUUUUCGCAUGAUUAAUUGUUUAAAGACUUCGGUCGCUUAUGGAUGGGCUUGCGGACCAUUAGCUUGUUGGUGGGGUAACGGCCUACCAAGGCUUCGAUGGUUAGCCGACCUGAGAGGGUGAUCGGCCACAUUGGGACUGAGAUACGGCCCAGACUCCUACGGGAGGCAGCAGUAGGGAAUUUUGCGCAAUGGACGAAAGUCUGACGCAGCAACGCCGCGUGAGCGAUGAAUGUCUUCGGAUUGUAAAGCUCUGUUGAGUGGGAAGAAAAGCUUCGGUAUGACAGUACCACUCGAGGAAGCCCCGGCUAAUUACGUGCCAGCAGCCGCGGUAAUACGUAAGGGGCAAGCGUUGUUCGGAAUCACUGGGCGUAAAGGGAGCGCAGGCGGAUAAGUAAGUUAGGAGUUAAAGACGGCGGCUCAACCGUCGACCUGCUCUUAAUACUGCUUGUCUUGAGUACAGAAGAGGAAGACGGAAUUCCAGGUGUAGCGGUGGAAUGCGUAGAUAUCUGGAAGAACACCAGUUGCGUAGGCGGUCUUCUGGUCUGAUACUGACGCUCAUGCUCGAAAGCUAGGGGAGCAAACAGGAUUAGAUACCCUGGUAGUCCUAGCCGUAAACGAUGGACACUAGUUGUCGGAGGAGUCAAUCCUUUCGGUGACGAAGCUAACGCAUUAAGUGUCCCGUCUGGGGAGUACGCUCGCAAGGGUGGAACUCAAAGGAAUUGACGGGGGCCGCACAAGCGGUGGAGCAUGUGCUUUAAUUCGAUGCAACGCGAAGAACCUUACCUGGGUUUGACAUGGGGGUGCAACUCUUUGGAGACAGAGAGCCUUCCCUCGGGAACACCCUACACAGGUGCUGCAUGGUUGUCGUCAGCUCGUGUCGUGAGAUGUUGGGUUAAGUCCCGCAACGAGCGCAACCCUCGCCCUUAGUUGCCAUCAGGUCAAGCUGGGAACUCUAGGGGGACUGCUUGGUAUAACCAGGAGGAAGGUGGGGAUGACGUCAAAUCAUCAUGGCCCUUACGCCCAGGGCUAGACACGUGCUACAAUGGCCAGUACAGCGGGAUGCUACACUGCAAGGUGACGCUAAUCCCUUAAAACUGGUCUCAGUUCGGAUUGGAGUCUGCAACUCGACUCCAUGAAGGUGGAAUCGCUAGUAAUCGCGGAUCAGCAUGCCGCGGUGAAUACGUUCCCGGGCCUUGUACACACCGCCCGUCAAGCCAUGAAAGACGGUAGUGCCCAACGUCGUUCCUCUAACCGCAAGGAAGAGUGCGCCUAAGGUAAGACCGUUGAUUGGGGCUAAGUCGGAACAAGGUA